This 338-nucleotide ribosomal RNA is filed under the name uncultured Pseudomonadota bacterium. Its description in RNAcentral is "bacterial SSU rRNA". It matches the Rfam family "Bacterial small subunit ribosomal RNA", at positions 29 to 351 of the family's 1533-position model. Lineage: Bacteria; Pseudomonadati; Pseudomonadota. The record is from RNAcentral.
AACAAACGCUGGCGGCGUGCCUAACACAUGCAAGUCGAACGAGAAAGUCCGCUUCGGUGGAUGAGUAAAGUGGCGCACGGGUGAGUAACGCGUGGAUAAUCUACCAUUUAGUCGGGAAUAACUCAUCGAAAGGUGAACUAAUACCGGAUAAUACUGCAGAACUACUGUUGUGCAGUCAAAGAAGGCCUCUGCUUGCAAGCUUUUGCUGAAUGAUGAGUCCGCGUACCAUUAGCUAGUUGGUAGGGUAAUGGCCUACCAAGGUUAUGAUGGUUAGCUGGUCUGAGAGGAUGAUCAGCCACACUGGAACUGAAACACGGUCCAGACUCCUACGGGAGCAG